This 179-nucleotide ribosomal RNA is filed under the name uncultured bacterium. Its description in RNAcentral is "partial 16S ribosomal RNA". It matches the Rfam family "Bacterial small subunit ribosomal RNA", at positions 1314 to 1500 of the family's 1533-position model. The record is from RNAcentral.
GACUCCACGAAGCUGGAUUCGCUAGUAAUCGCGCAUCAGCCACGGCGCGGUGAAUACGUUCCCGGGCCUUGUACACACCGCCCGUCAAGCCAUGGGAGCCGGGGGUACCUGAAGUGCGUAACCGCGAGGAGCGCCCUAGGGUAAAACUGGUGACUGGGGCUAAGUCGUAACAAGGUAUC